CGUGGUUUGUAAAGCCAAAAAACGCCAUUUUGAGGGUUGGUUUGUGGACCCAAUACCCCGCCAAAUUUGAGGACCAUAUUUGGUUGUUUCCAACCAACGACAUCGCGUCAUUGCUAUCACGUGACGCCCGCACUCCUGCACGCCGUGGACGCAGACGAUAUACAUUUCGGAAACUUUUGACAUUUCGUGGUUAUUUUUGGUCCUCAAAGACAGUUUUUGUCGGGUUGAAAUCUGCUGUUUACAACGGUUUUUCGCGAGCUUAUCCCGUGACACGUUUCGUUUUUCUCGUGGCCGUCUUGUGGCUGAAAUGGCAUCUCGCCUCCUGGAAAUCGUAGAUCGAAUUGGAUAAGUAAACUGUUCAGGAAUUAACACACAGAAUAACCAUUGCAAUGAAACAAUCAAGUUUAUUGGUGAUGCCCAUUGUUGCCUGAAAGCACAGUUGCAGAGGAAGCUUUGCUUAGAGGAAGGUGGUUCCCAGCCUGGAGAGCAACAAAGCCAAGAAGGGAUCACUCAACUGAAAAAAACAGUAUUUCCAGAUGAGUACCUGACUGACAAUUUACAAUAAAUACCAAAUUUGGCCCACCUGAUAUUUCAUACAGUGAUUCAUAAUCAAACUGGGAUUGGACAAGGCCCUUUUUGUGCUUCCAUAGUUAAAAAUUUCCCAGAUGUGCUGAUCAGUGGAAGCCUAGGGUCUCCUCGUCAAAAUAUCAGGAUGAGUUGACAUAGGUUUACAUUGACAGAGAUUUUUGAGUGUCCUCAAUCUUGGGGCGACACAAUGAAGUAUUAGGUGCCUUGCUCAAGGACAACGAGAUGAGGUGGCACAGAUUAUGUGAGAGUUGAACCCACAAUAUCCUUGUCAUUGUGAUCAUAAACAACCAGAAACUCUGGUAUGUGGACUGGAGGGAUGACUGCUUCUUAAUUUUGUCUUAAUUCACAGAGUUCGUUAUGUGUCCUUUGAAACAUAAAACUUGGCCUUGGACCUCAAUCUUGAAAUUCUUUACUUCAAAGCUGUUGGUGUUAAAUGACUCUUCUGAUUUUAUAAAGCUUAAUCUUUGGCAGAAGAACUUGAUGUGGAAAGCCAAUGUUUCAUCUCCAAUGUUUUCGGGCCUCAAAAUUCAGGAUUUUGCCUCCAAAGCAUUUCUUGAAAAAAGUGCUGUGGAGGUAGAGGCCUCUCAACAGCAAUUUGUCCCUUGCCCAAGACAAAUUUGCCUCAGCUUAUUUUAGGCAUAGCAACCCUGCCAGAGUGAUUGCGGAGCUCCUGGCAAUGCACACCUGGAUCCGGAGCCUAAAGCCGAGGACACACUACCAACUAUUGCUCACCAAGAUCAAAAACAGAUGUAGGGUCACCUGGCAAGUCACUCUUGCUGGCCUCAACAACUGUGCGUUCACACCAAUGUCAGGCCCAGACAAUUUUAGCUACCUGUACCUGUCUGUGACGUCACUGGAGGGAAACAUUUUGAUCACCUGAUGCACAGCUUACUUAUGAGACCCCUGCUGUCAUUGCUCCUGAUUAAUCAGGUAUAUACCUGUAGUUUUAUAGGCCCAUGGACAUUCUCAAAACAGCCAACCAUCUUCAAAGUACGGGUUUACAUGUCAAAAACAUAUAAUCGGAACUCCACCUUUAAAUGUAGACUCAAAUAGCUAAAAGAGCUAGUGCCUAGUAACAUGAAUUCAUUUUUUCUUGGUGUAAAGGGCUUGAAAGAGUUAAAAACAAAACCUCUUGUUUACAUUUUCCUUGCUCGAAACAGUUGGUGAACCGUUCACAAACGACAAUUCUACCUGAAGUAGCCCCCCUGUGGUGGCAAUCUUGGCGAAAAUAUAGAACUCCCCACCAACUCACCAAGACUGGGUGAGAGUAUCUAAUUUCACUGGCCAAGUGAAUUGCUGGACCGUUCACAUAUGACAAGACAUCUGCAGUCAAUUAAAUUAAUCACCAUUGGCCAAUUUUUCUUGGUAGUGUGUCCUCGGCUUAAGAACUGGGGCUGUAUAAUUAGAAUAAGGCAGCCAGGCCCAUAACUUUGGGGUUACCAUUUGCCGCGAGUGCCGUGGAGAAUUUACCAUUCAGAAUCAAAAGUUGAGUGAGAACCAUUAUAUUUUUCAGCCCCUCCACCUGAUGACCCACAUUAACAGGGAAGGAGAUGAAGGCAUUCAGAUUUGGUAUGGCAUCGUCAUUCUACUGACAAGCCAUGGCCCGUUAACAAAAUUUACCAAGGACCACAGUUCUUUGCUGCGACAUUGGCUGGGUUUUGCUGACCACAAUACCAUUUGAACUGGAAAUGUUGUCGCGAGAAGAAUCCGUCUUGGGAUACAAGCCUAAUAGCAAGAUCAGAGGGCAUGGUUCCCACGAAGGCUGUCCAAGGGAGAUUCAGCAACCUACUUGAUCAGCAUGGUUUCAAGAUCAUUGGGCUUGGGUGUCACGGGGGCCUGGAGAAACCAUAGUGCAUGGAUGCUCGGAGACACUUGUCACCCCUGGUAUGCCUGCUGUGAACAAGAGCUGGGGCUGAACCAAGCUAAGAUUAUUGACAAUCCCUAUCAUGUUGCCAACGUCACCAAUGGCAGGACUGAAGAUGGAUCCAUUGGAAACUAAAGGCUUUUCCUCAGCCAACACCUCAUGAACUGGACUGGAAAAUAGCACAGGUGAUCAAGACUGAUACCGCACAAUCGUCCUCCUGGUUAACAAGCCAAGACCAAUCCAGAUGGGGAGGGUUGGCCCUCCAACACCACUACCAAUGCUCUCAGCUGGGAUCAGUGGACUGCAGCAAUAUCUUACUGAAGACAAAGAUGAGGAAUCUACAAUGUUGAUGCAAGAUUGCCCUGUGAUGUCCAGGCGUCUUUGACUACAAAGCUUUGGUUCACCAGUAGGUCUUCUGAUGGUAAAGUUUGGACACAACAUCCUGAGCAUGAAGAAUAUUCUGAAAGACAGCACAAACAAUAUUUGGACAUUCAAUUUUUCAGCUGAGAAGGACCUUUUUUCAAGUUAGGACUAAAGCCCCUGGGCCUGCUUUAGGCCUAUAACUGUAGUUUGUGCUCUGUAGUAUGUGAUUUGAAAAGAUUGGAGUAAGGAUUGUACAAUGGAACAAGUGUCAUUUUGUUUGCCACAGUAACUUAAGGCAGUGUUAGUGACCCAUUUGUUUUCAGUUUACAAAGCCAUCAUGAUCAACUGCAUUGAUCCCUCAAAAGAUUGUUGGAGUGACUCCAUUAAAUGUAACAAAAAUAUCCAACACCUGGUACUCUAGUUACUGUAGGUUAGCUACUGAAGUGACCUUUUUGUUUUCACUUUUAAAAACCUAUGCGAUUUGCCGCACUGAAGGUCCCUCCUGAGAUUGUUGGACUGGGUCCAUUAAAUGUGACAAAAAUAUCCAACACCUAUUUACAAAUGAAGUGAGGGGGUCAGCCUUUUGGUGUAACUCCAUAUAACUGUCUGGUGAUUUCGCUCUGGGCUUGUGACAUUCUGAUCGGUCUGAAAUAAUCAUUGUCGCCCAUCCCUCAAUUUGAGGCCUGUGUCCCGAUGGUGGCGUUGAAUGGCAAAAUCAAAGGGGCAUGACGGCGGUUAUACCUAUUGCGAAUGGGCAGCAUCACAACCAGUUCUGAGAUCUGGGGGUGGUGUAGGAUAUCUGGUUACCACGCACACAUCUCUUGAAUCUGCGGUGGGUUGGUACCCCACGCUACGUAAGGGGAGGUUCUGGGUAAGACUUGGUCCACGUGAAUAGGUUGUACCUGAAAGAUGAGAAGUUGCGAAUGGACGCCUUAGAAUAUGUCCUUCGACCAGCUAGUGCUAACCCGGUCACUGUCUCCAGGUCACCACACCUUGGUCAAUGAGCGGGCGAAGAACCCAAUGGCUCCGUCAGGAGUACAUCGUCAACUUCAGCCCGUAGUCAAACCGGUCCAUGUACAAAUAUCUUGGCUGAGAGUGGGGGACGUACUUGCUUCUCAUCGGGGUAAUACAGUACCACUGUAUACAAUGACCCCAUUUUAGUUGGAUUUUACUGAGGAGUGGACGAUAAUGAGAAUUUCAGGCCAGUCCGAUUGUCACCAGUUCAGAGGGCGAUUACCUGAUAGUUAUGUGGCAUUCCGUCAAACGGUGAACUCUUUCACAUCCUUUGUAAAUUAGUGUUGCUUGUUACAUGUCACAUUCAAUGGCUCCUUUGAGGAUAGUUUCUGUGAUUCUACUUUACCAUGAGCAGGCCCAUUAAAACCUAAACUGUGUAGUUUGUGCUCUGUAGUAUGUGAUCUAAAAAGUUGUAAAUCUGGUUAUUGGAGUAAAGAUUGUAGAAUGGAAUAUCCGCGGGAUGCCCUAAUCUGAGAGCCAAGAGCCAAGACGCUGUUAAAGAGCCAAUUAAGUGCUGCCAGGAAAGCCCCGAGCCAAAGAAAAAGUUUAGGCUAAUGAAACUUUGGGAAUCCUAAGCCUACAGGUACCCUACUUGAUAAAAAAUUAAUUUAUUAUGUAAUCAUUUUUGACAUUGUAAGAAAUCACCACCUUGAUAGCUAUAUAGU
Lineus longissimus is the source of this 4494-nucleotide long non-coding RNA. RefSeq lists it as uncharacterized. NCBI's taxonomy places the organism in Eukaryota, Metazoa, Nemertea, Pilidiophora, Heteronemertea, Lineidae. The transcript is spliced from 7 exons. The record is from RefSeq and is a predicted model, not a curated record.